AACGAACGCUGGCGGCGUGCCUAACACAUGCAAGUCGAGCGAGAAAGUUUCCUUCGGGAAGCGAGUACAGCGGCGAACGGGUGAGUACAACGUAGGUAACCUACCCCCGAGACUGGGAUAACCUGUCGAAAGACGGGCUAAGACCGGAUAAGACCACGAAGGCUGCGGCCUUUGGGGUAAAAAGUGGCCUCUGCUUGCAAGCUACUACUCGAGGAGGGGCCUGCGCGCCAUUAGCUAGUUGGUGGGGUAAAGGCUCACCAAGGCGAAGAUGGCUAACUGGUCUGAGAGGAUGGCCAGUCACACUGGGACUGAGACACGGCCCAGACUCCUACGGGAGGCAGCAGUGGGGAAUAUUGCGCAAUGGGCGAAAGCCUGACGCAGCGACGCCGCGUGGGUGAUGAAGGCCU
This 407-nucleotide ribosomal RNA is filed under the name uncultured bacterium. Its description in RNAcentral is "bacterial SSU rRNA". It matches the Rfam family "Bacterial small subunit ribosomal RNA", at positions 29 to 417 of the family's 1533-position model. The record is from RNAcentral.